UCUAAAAUGGCGUAAAUUGAAAUGGAAUUAGAGGCACUAAAGUUCGUUAAACCGCAUUUAAAAAGUUUAUCAUUUGUUAUAUUUGUAAAAAUUGGCAAACAUAUAUUCGAUUGUGUUGUUAGAACUUCUGACGGUCUACUGAUAGCCGUAAUGUAUUCUGUAGAUGUUUCAAGAUCUCGACGUGGAAAAUUUCGAUUCACCACACGGGGUUGGGAGAACUCGAAUAUUCCCAAACAAAUUAGAAAGUAUAGAUGGAUGUGGUGUCAACACAUCCCCAAACCAUGAUUAUUCACACGAUCUUCACUCCUGCCUAUAAUCUUGGCAAGACCUAAUGGCGUUACAAAAGGUUAAAAAUUUUCCUUUAACUAUGAUCUCCUUGGAUGACGGCCUCGAUGUUGACUUUUUCUGGGUUAUUACAGCAUCGAUGACAACGUUCUCUGAAUCAGAUCUGCAUCUAAUGGUGAGUCGCAUGCAUCUUUGUUUUCCUGUUCAAACUCGAACGCGUAUCCGAUACGUGGUUAUAGUCGAACUGCAUGCAGUAAGAUCGACGG
Bombus terrestris (buff-tailed bumblebee) is the source of this 551-nucleotide long non-coding RNA. RefSeq lists it as uncharacterized. NCBI's taxonomy places the organism in Eukaryota, Metazoa, Arthropoda, Insecta, Hymenoptera, Apidae. The transcript is spliced from 4 exons. The record is from RefSeq and is a predicted model, not a curated record.